CAGUCGCCACGGGAAUACGGAGGGUGCAAGCGUUAAUCGGAAUUACUGGGCGUAAAGCGCACGCAGGCGGUCUGUCAAGUCAGAUGUGAAAUCCCCGGGCUUAACCUGGGAACUGCAUUUGAAACUGGCAGGCUAGAGUCUUGUAGAGGGGGGUAGAAUUCCAGGUGUAGCGGUGAAAUGCGUAGAUAUGCGGAGGAACACCGAUGGCGAAGGCAGCCCCCUGGGCCAAUACUGACGCUCAUGCACGAAAGCGUGGGGAGCAAACAGGAUUAGAUACCCCUGUAGUCCCUGUCUCUUAUAA
This 301-nucleotide ribosomal RNA is filed under the name uncultured bacterium. RNAcentral's name for it is "partial 16S ribosomal RNA". It matches the Rfam family "Bacterial small subunit ribosomal RNA", at positions 509 to 809 of the family's 1533-position model. The record is from RNAcentral.